UACGGAGGGUGCGAGCGUUAAUCGGAAUUACUGGGCGUAAAGCGUGCGUAGGCGGUUUCUUAAGUCAGAUGCGAAAGCCCCGGGCUUAACCUGGGAACGGCAUUUGAUACUGGGUAACUUGAGUUUGGGAGAGGCAAGUGGAAUUUCAGGUGUAGCGGUGAAAUGCGUAGAUAUCUGAAGGAACACCAGUGGCGAAGGCGACUUGCUGGCCUAAAACUGACGCUGAGGCACGAAAGCAUGGGGAGCAAACAGG
Molecule: ribosomal RNA, 253 nt
Filed under: uncultured bacterium
Lineage: Bacteria
Description: partial 16S ribosomal RNA
Rfam family: Bacterial small subunit ribosomal RNA
Source: RNAcentral